Molecule: transfer RNA, 64 nt
Filed under: Helianthus annuus (common sunflower)
Lineage: Eukaryota; Viridiplantae; Streptophyta; Magnoliopsida; Asterales; Asteraceae
Rfam family: tRNA
About the family: Transfer RNA (tRNA) molecules are approximately 80 nucleotides in length.
Source: RNAcentral
GGAGAGAUGGCUGAGUGGACGAAAGCGGCGGAUUGCUAAUCCGUUGUACGAGUUAUUCGUACCG